AUGGGCAAUUCAGAUAGUCAGUACAGCAGUUUCAUUCUCCCUGGUAAGGGAAAGUCUAGCUCCCUGAAGCUGCACAAUCCCAAAGAGGACGUGGUCUCGCCACAAUCUUGGUGGAGGAACUCUGACAGCACCUCUGGGUACAAGGCUAAAAAUGGCUUUUCACCACACAAAAACCAUCAACCGUACAUGUCACGUCGAUAUGACUGCAUUAAGGAGGGAUCUAGUGACAAAAUAUGUGCGGAGAGCCACCAGGACUAUGACAACAUUUUAUUCCAGGGAAAUGGAUUUUUUGUAGGCUACAGACAACAGAGCGGAGGCCUCCAGGCUCCUAUGAGGAACCCCAGUUCUGAGUGUAAAGACAGUAAGAGCAGUCCAAAAGUUCUGCUUCGUGAUGAUGGAAGUCUAAGAGUAGAGUUCACUAAUGCACGGAGGGAGCCAGACGUUGAGCUGUCCUUGGGAACUCGUCGAAGUGGACCUGUUGAUGGCCAAAGGGCCAGUAAUGGAAGCUCUCUUGGCUCCGAGGGCUCAUGGUAUGACUCGCCCUGGGGGAAUGGGACAGAUCUGUGUGACAAUGUCUUCUCCAACAGCCAACCUUCGGAUAACAGCAGUGGAUACACCACACUCUCAUCCACACGUACAGUGGACUUUGGAUAUUUUAAUGGUUACAACACAGAACAGUCUGAGCAUCAUACGAGUAGCCUUACCUGCCAAACAACAGUUCAUGGCGGUCAGUAUGCAAACAGUGAUAGCAAUAGUAAUGGCAACCGUGUUGAGGAGGACAGUGGUAUUGGAGACUCUGUGCUCCUUCAUUUGGAAAACAAUGGAUUACCUGAGCAAUACACAAACCCAAACAUGACUCUACCGUUCCCAACUGUGGGCAUCCUAAUGACAGAUCAGUUCAAGGAUAGUCCUCAUCUACAAGCUUCACUGACCUCUUCCCUGGAUGCAAACUCCCAAGAUGAGAAUCAGGAAACCCGGCUUUACACCUCGCAAACCCUGCCAUGCAGAAAAGCAGUUCCUGAUGGGAACACAAGGAAGGACUCGCUCAAGAGUCGCAUCCGCCGUCUCAGUGAUUGGACGGGAAGUCUGAGCAGGAAAAAGCGAAGGCUACAGGAUCCUCAGGAACCAAGCAUAGAAGUUGUUAACUGUGGAGCUGAGGGCACGGUCGAAGAAUCCAGACCAUUUUGGAAUCCCAUGUCAUGCCAAACACAGCUGGACAGCACCUUAUCUGGCCCUUUUGGGCAGCAGAACCAAGGUGCAACUCUCAGGCAGAACAUCUAUGAGAAUUUUAUGCAGGGCCUGGAGACCGCCAGCAGCACCGGGACCGUUGAUGGACUCCAGAUCUGGGAGGCUGAAGGGGAGAGCAGCAGUGGCUCGAUGGGCUCCAUAGAGCAAAUGGACUUCCUGUUUGAGAAGGAGCAAGGUGUCGUGCGGAGGGCUGGUUGGUUGGCUUUUAAGCCUCUUAUUACACUACAUAAGGACCGCAAACUGGAACUGGUAACAAGACGCAAGUGGAGGCAGUAUUGGGUCACGCUUAAAGGCUGUACACUUUUGUUGGGGGAAUCCAAUGGAAAGACCUCCCCAGAGCAGGAAUGCACACCACGUUACGCAGUGCUUGCCGAGGACAGUAUUGUACAGGCCGUUCCUGAGCAUCCUAAGAAAGAGAAUGUCUUCUGCCUCAGCAAUGCCUAUGGAGAUGUCUACCUCUUCCAGGUUGGUGGCCUUUCUUUUGUAACAUAGAACCAUUUCCACAUUAAGGUGCACUUUCAGUCAGUGUUUUUCAAGACGUCAAUCAAAACCAAUCGAUUUUCACUGUUGUUGAGCAAAGUGAACCAAGCAGAAAAUCACCGCUGCCAUUAGAUGGUGCUUAAUGAACUUUAAUGCCAUGCAUAAGGCUGCUUUCACACCUUUAGUACGUUUCCUUUGGUCCGUAC
RNAcentral lists this long non-coding RNA (1934 nucleotides) under Danio rerio (zebrafish). RNAcentral's name for it is "lncRNA (ENSDARG00000117320.1)". Lineage: Eukaryota; Metazoa; Chordata; Actinopteri; Cypriniformes; Danionidae. The record is from RNAcentral.